CUGGCUCAGGAUGAACGCUAGCUACAGGCUUAACACAUGCAAGUCGAGGGGCAGCAUUGGGAUAGCUUGCUAUUCAGAUGGCGACCGGCGCACGGGUGAGUAACGCGUAUCCAACCUUCCUGCCAGUAGGGAACAGCCCGGCGAAAGUCGGAUUAAUGCCCUAUGUUCUUCAAUGCGGACAUCUAAGUUGAAGGAAAGAUUCAUCGCUGGCAGAUGGGGAUGCGUCCGAUUAGCUUGCCGGCGGGGUAACGGCCCACCGGGGCGACGAUCGGUAGGGGUUCUGAGAGGAAGGUCCCCCACACUGGUACUGAGACACGGACCAGACUCCUACGGGAGGCAGCAGUGAGGAAUAUUGGUCAAUGGGCGUAAGCCUGAACCAGCCAAGUAGCGUGCAAGGAUGACGGCCCUACGGGUUGUAAACUGCUUUUAUGCGGGGAUAAAGUGCGGCACGUGUGCCGCUUUGCAGGUACCGCAUGAAUAAGGACCGGCUAAUUCCGUGCCAGCCGCCGC
This 510-nucleotide ribosomal RNA is filed under the name uncultured bacterium. RNAcentral's name for it is "bacterial SSU rRNA". It matches the Rfam family "Bacterial small subunit ribosomal RNA", at positions 19 to 518 of the family's 1533-position model. The record is from RNAcentral.